This 245-nucleotide ribosomal RNA is filed under the name uncultured bacterium. RNAcentral describes it as "partial 16S ribosomal RNA". It matches the Rfam family "Bacterial small subunit ribosomal RNA", at positions 524 to 768 of the family's 1533-position model. The record is from RNAcentral.
UACGUAGGAGGCGAGCGUUGUCCGGAUUUAUUGGGCGUAAAGAGCGCGCAGGCGGUUAGGCAAGAUGGGUGUGAAAUCCUCUGGCUCAACUAGGGGGGGUCAUCCAAGACUGUCUAACUUGAGGGCAGCAGAGGAAAGUGGAAUUCCCGGUGUAGUGGUGAAAUGCGUAGAUAUCGGGAGGAACACCAGUGGCGAAGGCGGCUUUCUGGGCUGUCGCUGACGCUGAGGCGCGAAAGCGUGGGGAG